Molecule: ribosomal RNA, 126 nt
Filed under: Ipomoea nil (Japanese morning glory)
Lineage: Eukaryota; Viridiplantae; Streptophyta; Magnoliopsida; Solanales; Convolvulaceae
Source: RNAcentral
GAAUGUGAUCAUACUAGUACUAAUAUACCGGAUCCCAUCAGAACUCCGAAGUUCAAUGUUAAACGUGCUUGGACGAGAGUAGUACUAGGAUGGGUGACUCUUUAAGAAGUCCUCGUGUUGCAUCUU